UACGUAGGGGGCUAGCGUUGUCCGGAAUCAUUGGGCGUAAAGCGCGCGUAGGCGGCCCGGUAAGUCCGCUCUGAAAGUCCAGGGCUCAACCCUGGAAAGCGGGUGGAUACUGCCAGGCUAGAGUCCGGAAGAGGCGAGUGGAAUUCCUGGUGUAGCGGUGGAAUGCGCAGAUAUCAGGAAGAACACCGGUGGCGAAGGCGGCAUCCUGGACCAACACUGACACUGAGGAGCGAAAGCCAGGGGAGCAAACGGG
This 253-nucleotide ribosomal RNA is filed under the name uncultured bacterium. RNAcentral's name for it is "partial 16S ribosomal RNA". It matches the Rfam family "Bacterial small subunit ribosomal RNA", at positions 524 to 776 of the family's 1533-position model. The record is from RNAcentral.